UCUGGAAAACGCUUGAAGGUCAAGCGCUCACGCUUAUCGGCUCGGCAGCCUGCAACAAUGUUUGCGGUGAUUGGUGGCGUUUCAUUGCAGCCCUCUUGGGUCUGUAGCUCAGCUGGUUAGAGCACCGUCUUGAUAAGGCGGGGGUCGUUGGUUCGAGCCCAACCAGACCCACCACCCUACGAUUGGUGCGAUUCACCUGGGGGUGUAGCUCAGCUGGGAGAGCACCUGCUUUGCAAGCAGGGGGUCAUCGGUUCGAUCCCGUUCACCUCCACCAUCAAACGCAAGUGCAUAUUUUAUUUGUGUAUUUGCGUUUGAUUUUCAAUAGGCUGCGUUCAUUAACAAUUCGAAAAGCUGAUAAUUGCAUUUGUAUAUGCAUUUGCGAUUGCAUCAAAACUUUGUCAACGUACUAUUUCUUUGGCUUAGGUCAAGGUUAUAG
RNAcentral lists this transfer RNA (436 nucleotides) under Thiomonas delicata. Its description in RNAcentral is "16S-23S ribosomal intergenic spacer". The stretch from base 98 to 171 matches the Rfam family "tRNA". The record is from RNAcentral. Lineage: Bacteria; Pseudomonadati; Pseudomonadota; Betaproteobacteria; Burkholderiales.